CAGGAAGUAGUUUAAAUAUAUGUGUCAGCUUUGGGUGUUGAUGGUAAGGUGAGGUGCCUUCUUCUUGA
RNAcentral lists this transfer RNA (68 nucleotides) under Distoechurus pennatus (New Guinean feather-tailed possum). RNAcentral describes it as "tRNA-Pro". Lineage: Eukaryota; Metazoa; Chordata; Mammalia; Diprotodontia; Acrobatidae. The record is from RNAcentral.